UUUCAACCUUACCAAAUUUUGGUAAAGUUGUAAAAAAAAAUGGCUACAUUUAGUUUGCUGCCAAAUUUUUGUAACUAUAUUAGAAAUCCUACCAAAAUUUUGGCAUACCAAAAUUGGUAUCAAAGUGAACAGGCCCUUAGCAACUUGCUAAAAUUUUGGCAGGAUUUCUUAUAUAGUUAUCAAAAUUUGGCAGCAAAAUAAAUGUAGCCACUUUUUUUUGGUAACUUUAUCAAAAUUUGG
This 240-nucleotide unclassified non-coding RNA is filed under the name Oryza sativa (Asian cultivated rice). RNAcentral describes it as "partial microRNA MIR480d-as precursor". Lineage: Eukaryota; Viridiplantae; Streptophyta; Magnoliopsida; Poales; Poaceae. The record is from RNAcentral.